AUUGAACGCUGGCGGCAUGCCUUACACAUGCAAGUCGAACGGCAGCACGGGUGCUUGCACCUGGUGGCGAGUGGCGAACGGGUGAGUAAUACAUCGGAACAUGUCCUGUAGUGGGGGAUAGCCCGGCGAAAGCCGGAUUAAUACCGCAUACGAUCUACGGAUGAAAGCGGGGGACCUUCGGGCCUCGCGCUAUAGGGUUGGCCGAUGGCUGAUUAGCUAGUUGGUGGGGUAAAGGCCUACCAAGGCGACGAUCAGUAGCUGGUCUGAGAGGACGACCAGCCACACUGGGACUGAGACACGGCCCAGACUCCUACGGGAGGCAGCAGUGGGGAAUUUUGGACAAUGGGCGAAAGCCUGAUCCAGCAAUGCCGCGUGUGUGAAGAAGGCCUUCGGGUUGUAAAGCACUUUUGUCCGGAAAGAAAUCCUUGGCCGUAAUACGGUCGGGGGAUGACGGUACCGGAAGAAUAAGCACCGGCUAACUACGUG
This 486-nucleotide ribosomal RNA is filed under the name uncultured bacterium. Its description in RNAcentral is "partial 16S ribosomal RNA". It matches the Rfam family "Bacterial small subunit ribosomal RNA", at positions 30 to 507 of the family's 1533-position model. The record is from RNAcentral.